GACGAACGCUGGCGGCGCGCUUAACACAUGCAAGUCGAGCGAGAACCAGGGCUUCGGCUCUGGGGAAAGCGGCGAACGGGUGAGUAACACGUGAGUAACCUGUCCUCGGCACCGGGAUAGCCCGGGGAAACCCGGAUUAAUACCGGAUAGCCUUUCGAGCUCUCGGGCUCGUCAGAAAAGGUAGCUUCGGCCUCUGGCCGAGGAGGGACUCGCGGCGGAUUAGCUUGUUGGUGAGGUAACGGCUCACCAAGGCGACGAUCCGUAGCUGGUCUGAGAGGACGAUCAGCCACACUGGGACUGAGACACGGCCCAGACUCCUACGGGAGGCAGCAGUGGGGGAAUCUUGCGCAAUGGGCGAAAGCCUGACGCAGCGACGCCGCGUGCGGGAAGAAGGCCU
RNAcentral lists this ribosomal RNA (397 nucleotides) under uncultured bacterium. Its description in RNAcentral is "bacterial SSU rRNA". It matches the Rfam family "Bacterial small subunit ribosomal RNA", at positions 28 to 417 of the family's 1533-position model. The record is from RNAcentral.